AUCACCAAUAUAUUUGUUUGGUUGAAUUGUUUACUUAGUUGCAUACAAGUUUGGUUAAUCUGUGUUUAUUAGGAUAGCUAAUUUUGUUGAGGUUUCUCACAUGGAAAGUCCAGGCUCUUUGCUUUUCUUAUUGCAUGUUUGAGUUAUCUUUGGGAGAGUGCGUUUAACAUAUGCAUUUCUGAUUGAUAGCAGAUGUAGUUUGUGCUUUGUGAAUGAUUUGCUAACAUAGGUUUGAAACUUUUUGUUGUAGGAAAUUUGGACGAGAGAGUAGGCGAUCGUGUACUAUAUGACAUUCUAAUUCAAGCAGGGCGUGUUGUUGACCUGUACAUUCCUCGUGACAAGGAAACUGAUAAGCCUAAAGGUUUUGCCUUCGCUAAAUAUGAGACGGAGGAGAUUGCAGACUAUGCUGUGAAGCUUUUCUCUGGUUUAGUGACGCUUUACAAUAGAACAUUAAAAUUUGCGGUAAGUCCUUGUUAUCCGUCCCUUGAGCUGGCUAAAAUGGUCAGUUUUAUUGAUAUUGUAUGGUGAAUUUAUGUUUUCUGGUAUUAUUAGCUUCUGUAGCGCUUGCAAACCUAAGGUAUGGGUUUAUCUCCUCUCCAACAGAACCAGCCUAUGCAUAGAUAAUAGAUAAUCUUGGUAGUGAGAUGUUCUUCGGUAGAGAUCGUCGGAGUGUCUAUCGAUGUUGGCUUAUGAAUUGAGAGAUACACCAGCAAAUAUGAGACAGAGGAGAUUGCAGACUAUGCUGUGAAGCUUUUCUCUGGUUUAGUGACGCUUUACAAUAGAACGUUAAAAUUUGCGGUAAGUCCUUGUUAUCCGUCCCUUGAGCUGGCUAAAAUGGUCAGUUUUAUUGAUAUUGUAUGGUGAAUUUAUGUUUUCUGGUAUUAUUAGCUUCUGUAGCGCUUGCAAACCUAAGGUAUGGGUUUAUCUCCUCUCCAACAGAACCAGCCUAUGCAUAGAUAAUAGAUAAUCUUGGUAGUGAGAUGUUCUUCGGUAGAGAUCGUCGGAGUGUCUAUCGAUGUUGGCUUAUGAAUUGAGAGAUACACCAGACAUAUGUUCUUUCAGUUAACACUGCGGGCUGGCAGUUGGAAUUUGAUGUUUUGAGGAGGCAAAGUCUACAGAAGCAUUUUGAUUUGCUUAUGUUGUGUAUUGACGUUUAAUUUUUCUAAACAGAUAUCUGGGCAAGACAAGCCCUCUAAUAACUCAUCAAUUGCGACACCACCACCUACCUUAAAUAUCCCCUCCAGACCAAGGCCUCUUCAUGUACCUUAUAAUGAUAAGGAAAUUUCACCAAAUUCUUUGAGAUUGUCAACUUCAUGCCGGUUUUCAGAGAACCAAAAUAACUUCACACAAGGUGAUGCAUGCUUUUUUAGCGCAGUCAUUAUUUUAUGCUCUUAGUCCCUUUUUUGUUUUAACGUUAUUUUCGUUGAGUCUUGACUUACAUGUUUAUAAUUGUUUUUUCUCUAUUCAGUUCCAGUUCCUCCUGGUGUUUCAAUAAACCAAUCUAAUGGGCAUAGAUCGCCUUACGAUGGAUAUAGAACACAUUAUGAUGGCAACAAUUAUGAUUACGGUCGAAGAGUAUUUGGGGAUGCUUUGGAUAGUAUAACACGCUCUAGGUUGGGCCGAUAUGACACCCGUAACCUGACCAGUUAUCCUUCUUAUUGAUAUUUAGC
RNAcentral lists this long non-coding RNA (1670 nucleotides) under Nicotiana benthamiana. RNAcentral's name for it is "long non-coding RNA (NBEN_LNC005664)". The record is from RNAcentral. Lineage: Eukaryota; Viridiplantae; Streptophyta; Magnoliopsida; Solanales; Solanaceae.